Molecule: ribosomal RNA, 494 nt
Filed under: uncultured bacterium
Lineage: Bacteria
Description: partial 16S ribosomal RNA
Rfam family: Bacterial small subunit ribosomal RNA
Source: RNAcentral
UGAACGCUGGCGGCGUGCCUACUACAUGCAAGUCGAGCGAACAGACGAGGAGCUUGCUCCUCUGACGUUAGCGGCGGACGGGUGAGUAACACGUGGAUAACCUACCUAUAAGACUGGGAUAACUUCGGGAAACCGGAGCUAAUACCGGAUAAUAUAUUGAACCGCAUGGUUCAAUAGUGAAAGACGGUUUUGCUGUCACUUAUAGAUGGAUCCGCGCCGCAUUAGCUAGUUGGUAAGGUAACGGCUUACCAAGGCAACGAUGCGUAGCCGACCUGAGAGGGUGAUCGGCCACACUGGAACUGAGACACGGUCCAGACUCCUACGGGAGGCAGCAGUAGGGAAUCUUCCGCAAUGGGCGAAAGCCUGACGGAGCAACGCCGCGUGAGUGAUGAAGGUCUUCGGAUCGUAAAACUCUGUUAUUAGGGAAGAACAAAUGUGUAAGUAACUAUGCACGUCUUGACGGUACCUAAUCAGAAAGCCACGGCUAACUACGU